GUUCUAGUGGAAACACUGACCACGGCUGACUUCACUCCCCCCUCUACCCCUCAACAAUGGACGGUUCGGUCGGUUGUGGUCGGAGGUUGGAUUGGAAAGUGGAAAAGAUCCUUGUGACUGUUCGUUAGAAUUUUACUUAAUAUCUAAUCUACAAUUUUCGAUAGCAAAUAUUAUAUCAGCACACCUCAAUCAUGGGUUGUUGGGGGCGCGUGAGGGGUGUUCUGCCGCGUGCUCGCUGCCGGCGCAGAGAGCUGGCGGGCACACGCGUGCGAGUGCCGCGCCGAGCUGUGCGAGCGAGCUGCCGCUGAGUGACGUGGCGCGCGAUGCGUUACUGACGGGUUGUCCUGCCGCGCGCUGCCUGCAGGCGAGCACUGCCCUGCUGCCUCGCUCCGAGUGACGAGUGCCUCGCUCCGAAGUGCCUCGCGCCCUGUGCCUCGCUCCGAGUGCUUCGUGCCCUGUGCCUCGUGCCUCGCUCCGAAGUGCCUCGCGCCCUGUGCCUCGUGCCCCGUGCCUCGCUCCGAGUGCCUCGCGCCGUGUUCCUCGCCUCGCUUGUCUCGCGGCGUAUUAUGUAUUUCCACCAGGAUUUCUUCUUGCAGUGAGACGCUACAUUACACUAUUAUAGCUAAGUGCUAAAUGAUUAUUAAUAACAAACUUCUUUUAUGAUUGCGGUUAAACAAUAUUGAGCACUUAUGACAAAAACUUUACAAAUGAGCUUAUUAUGUAGAAGGAUUGAUGUACCUAAACCUUUUGAAUGUUUAUCAAACUACAUUGUUUUAAUAAUUAUUGAUUUGCUUAUAACAAGUAAUGAGGCAGGAGAAGUCGGACAUAUCAUACAUAUUAUAUCAUACAUAUCAUCGGAGUAUCUCAAUACUUACAGGAAACACUUUCACUUAUGUUUGCAAUACACGCGGCCGUCCUGACAGUUGUCUACAUCGGAGAGUUUUGUGUCACCGCUAAUGUUGCACUUUGCGCGUGAUUUUUUCUUUUUAACAAUUUUCAAUCAUUUGCCAGUCGUUAGGGGCUACCAUUGUAAUCGUUAUGGGUUGUUGUGGCGCGGCUCCCGCUGUCCUCAUUUUCGUGUCAACGGUUCUGUUACAUGACGGACACGGGUAGACGCCUUCCUCCCGUCUCGAGGGAGACGGAGAUCGAGCGUUCGGGCUUAAAGAUUUAAGGGUCGCUACCUUCGGCUCCUGUAGGAGGCUAGAGGCUCUACCAUACGUUUCUUUGUAUUGAUCGAAAGCAACCAUUAAAUCUCUUGGGGGCCAGUAUCUUUCUUAUCCCCUAUGUUCCACGAAACCAAAAGCUAAACAGUUCGUUAUUAAUUAAUACAGUACAAUCGCACUGUCACAAUCCUAACUACAAAGUGUCACUGUCGCACUACACUACACUACAGAUGGCGCUGUUGCAAUGCUGCAAGUGGCGCCACUAUCGCGUCCGGGCUAGGAGCUCCACCUCCGCUUUAACUGCGGAGCUGCGUCAGCAUUGACCGUUAUAGGGUGAGCGCGCCGCUUGUGCACACCCAACCCUAUUUUCGUGCCAAAGGUCCUGUUACACAAACAACAAGGGUAAACGCUUUCCCCCCGUCUCGAGGGAGACGGAGAUCGAGCGUCCGGGCUUAAAGAUUUAAGGGUCGCUACCUCCGGCUCCUGUGGGAGGCCAGAGGCUCGACCAUACAUUUCCAUAUACGAAUCGAAAGCAACCAUAAAUCUUGGAGGGGGGAGGCUGCUAACCUCCCCCCCAAGUUCGUCCACAACUAUGUUAUGUCCCCACCGUAUGAGCUGCUGGACUUGAGGAACUCUUCACCCCAAGGAGUGUUGCAUCGCUGUGUCCACAUUCUCUGCAAAUCCUUCCGCAAGUCUGGUCCCGUUAAUGAUAUUGCCUGGUGGCCUGAACCUGCCACUGGCUGUACGGUAUGCCAACCCCCAGGGGUCUUGGUUGCCUGAUUCCGCUUGCUUGCGGAAGAAUUCGAGCUGCGCCUCCUCCAUCGCUUUCCUGUACUUACUGCGGACCAUGCAACACUCCUCUCGUGCAUCAUCUGCCAUUCGCCCCGGUCGUUUUUUGGCCUUCUGCCAAUGUUUUCGUGCCCUGUUGUAGCUCCUGCGCAUGGAUUCCAGCGCAGGGUUUCACCAUUCAUACCCUCUUUCAUUCCGAUUCCCUACCAUACCAAGACAAUCUUUCGCAGUCCGCGCGAUGACUCGCGUGAACUCCUCGCACACUAGGACGAUAGGCCUCUCCCAUUUCAACUUACCUAUCCGAGACUGUACCGCACACUGGAAUUGCUACCAGUCCACGCCGCGGUCUCGGAAUCUCGCAGGCUCUCCUGGUGAGGGCUGGCCCCGUGUGUGAGUGGGGGAUGGCCGACGACGCGUUGUUCACCAAGCUCAAAGGUGAUGAGCUGGUGGUCGCUCGAGCUGGCUCCCUCGUGGACUCGCCAGUUAUCCACCCGGACGCCACGUGUGGACAGGGUGACGUCUAUAUUGGAUUCCCCAUUGACCGUGGCGAAUGUUGGCGGUUGGUUGCCGACAUUGUGGAGAAUGAGGUCAUGCGACAUGAUAAAGUCCUCCAUCGCCUCUCUUCGCCGGGUCGUCUCGCCCCCCCUGCCGAUGUAGUGCCGCUGCUCGCUGUGCCACAGCGGAGAGUGCGUGUUGGUGUCAGCGCCUACCAGAACUCGGCAUCCUCUUAGUUUGUUUAGUACCCGCGCCAGAUGUUCUAGAUGCGGCGAGAUAUCUUCGGAGUACUGGAAGUAGGCGCUGACCAUGUACAUGGAUAGACCUCCGAUGAGGAUGUGGCAGACCAGGCAGUGGGGGGUGCUUAGGUGUUGAAGCACCGCACACGUGGUUGUUCUAUCCGCCACGUAGAUCCCCACUUUUGGGGCGGAGCAUUCUGGUAGUGUAAGUGAAGGCGCUGAACUUCCACAGUAGGACUCCUGUGCCAGCACGAUGUGCACACCAAUGGCCUUUACGAUCACCGGCAGCUCUGUAGUCGCCAGGGCUGAGCCUUGCAGGUGCAGCUGCGCUAUCUUAGCCAUGGACGGUGGAGUAGCUGGUUCCAGCUAUGGCGCGGGACUCCGCGCGAAUGCGCGCCGGACAGUUCCUGGCUGCCGUUCUAUGUGAGCUGGCUCCUGGGCGCCCAAACUUCUUGCAGGUAGCGCAGCUUACUGUGGCACUUUGGCACUCAGUCGCCUUGUGGCCGUCUUCACCGCAGUUCCCGCACACCAUGUUUUUAACCCGGCAGUACUUUUCCGGGUGACCAUACUGCUGGCACCGAUUACAGCAGGUCACGAUAUCGUCGUGGUGGCCUAGUGGGUAAAGAACCAACCUCUCGAGUAUGAGGGCGUGGGUUCGAUUCCAGGUCAGGCAAGUACCAAUGCAACUUUUCUAAGUUUGUAUGUACUUUCUAAGUAUAUCUUAGACACCAAUGGCUGAUAAAAAGGUGAAGGAAAACAUCUUGAGGAAACCUGGACUAUAAAGUCUGAAAUCACCAACCCGCAUUGAGCAAGCGUGGUGAUUAUUGCUCAAUCCUUCUCUGUGUGAGAGGAGGCCUGUGCCCAGCAGUGGGACGAUAAAAA
This is a long non-coding RNA of Helicoverpa armigera (cotton bollworm), 3568 nucleotides long. RefSeq lists it as uncharacterized. The transcript is spliced from 3 exons. The record is from RefSeq and is a predicted model, not a curated record. Lineage: Eukaryota; Metazoa; Arthropoda; Insecta; Lepidoptera; Noctuidae.